Molecule: non-coding RNA, 1085 nt
Organism: Oryza sativa Japonica Group (Japanese rice)
Lineage: Eukaryota; Viridiplantae; Streptophyta; Magnoliopsida; Poales; Poaceae
Source: RefSeq, a predicted model, not a curated record
AGUUUAGGAUAACAUUUUAAAUUGCGAUAGCAAGAUCACAAAUUUCUCAGCGCCGGCUGCCGCCUAACCCUAACCAUCGCCGCUCCGAUCCUUCCCUCCCCCGCCGCCGCCACAGACGAUUCUGACGGCCCGCCUUCGCGCGCGACGCCGCCGGCGCCCCUCCCCGCCAACUCCCCUCCUCCCCUCAUCCAAAUCGACUCCGCCGGCACGAAAGCGCCCCUCCUCCUCGACCGCGUUCCGACACUGCCGGUGCCCCCUCGCUCCGACCGCGUUGCGCCGCCGUCGAAUCCCGUCUCCAUUGUCAAAUUGAUUGCACACUAAUUUUGAAAUAUGGGAGCACAUCAGAAGGUUCUCAUUAUGACAGCGGAUGGUACACAGAUGCAAUCGUAAACCUUCUGUCUAUAUAGUCAAUAAAACAGUUUUACUGGAUCCUUGAAUUUGCUGUUCUGCAACGUGGAGUGUAUAUAGCAUACUUGAGAAUCAUUGGUUGUCACUGCAUUAUAGUUGUACAUCAUAGAUCCCAUCAAAUAUUGGAUCAAUUGUGACUUGCGAGCACAUGUGUGCAGCGUGAGCAGUUGGGCUGCAACUUGCCAGGGCAAGAUCAUUUGUCAAGGUUGGAAUUGCUGCGGGAUCAUCCGAGGCCUCGACACGACAUACCCUCGUCUCAUUGCUCAGUUUACAGAGUCAAGUUCCAAGAAGAUCUUUUUGCUGAGGGAGCACUGGCCCUAGAGCAAAGGAUUAUGUAGAUGUGCGGCGCAUGCAGCAGCGCAAUGGCAGCAAAAGUUUAUCAUAAUAUCCUCAAUGAUCGAUCUGAAAAACAAAGUGUGCUGAAAUGGUAGUAUAAGAUAAGAGCUUGACCAUGUAGGAUGCACUUGGCAAGCCUUACUGGUUCUCAAUUUUCUUCUGAACGGAUUUGCACAUCCUGAUAGCAUAAUCCAAUGCUUCUUUUUCCCCCCUUUUUCAGGUUAAUUCCAGUGGCCAGUUUGUAGGAAUAUCUUACAUAUUAUGCCCUAUUGAUUUCUAACAUAUCAUGGACUUUUGGAAACAAGAUAAAUGGAAUGGCUUAUGAAUGCACUUUUCAUUCA